ACCUACGGGAGGCAGCAGUGGGGAAUUGUUCGCAAUGGGCGCAAGCCUGACGACGCAACGCCGCGUGGAGGAUGAAGGUCUUCGGAUUGUAAACUCCUGUUGCCAGGGACGAAUGGCCACGACCUAACACGUCGUGGUGUGACGGUACCUGGUGAGGAAGCCCCGGCUAACUCUGUGCCAGCAGCCGCGGUAAUACAGAGGGGGCAAGCGUUGUUCGGAAUUACUGGGCGUAAAGGGCGCGUAGGCGGCCUGUUAAGUCGAACGUGAAAUCCCCGGGCUCAACCCGGGAACUGCGUCCGAUACUGGCAGGCUUGAAUCCGGGAGAGGGAUGCGGAAUUCCAGGUGUAGCGGUGAAAUGCGUAGAUAUCUGGAGGAACACCGGUGGCGAAGGCGGCAUCCUGGACCGGUAUUGACGCUGAGGCGCGAAAGCCAGGGGAGCAAACGGGAUUAGAUACCCCCGUAC
Molecule: ribosomal RNA, 463 nt
Filed under: uncultured bacterium
Lineage: Bacteria
Description: bacterial SSU rRNA
Rfam family: Bacterial small subunit ribosomal RNA
Source: RNAcentral